RNAcentral lists this ribosomal RNA (518 nucleotides) under Pseudomonas sp. RNAcentral describes it as "bacterial SSU rRNA". It matches the Rfam family "Bacterial small subunit ribosomal RNA", at positions 61 to 572 of the family's 1533-position model. The record is from RNAcentral. Lineage: Bacteria; Pseudomonadati; Pseudomonadota; Gammaproteobacteria; Pseudomonadales; Pseudomonadaceae.
GUCGAGCGGCAGCACGGGUACUUGUACCUGGUGGCGAGCGGCGGACGGGUGAGUAAUGCCUAGGAAUCUGCCUGGUAGUGGGGGAUAACGCUCGGAAACGGACGCUAAUACCGCAUACGUCCUACGGGAGAAAGCAGGGGACCUUCGGGCCUUGCGCUAUCAGAUGAGCCUAGGUCGGAUUAGCUAGUUGGUGAGGUAAUGGCUCACCAAGGCGACGAUCCGUAACUGGUCUGAGAGGAUGAUCAGUCACACUGGAACUGAGACACGGUCCAGACUCCUACGGGAGGCAGCAGUGGGGAAUAUUGGACAAUGGGCGAAAGCCUGAUCCAGCCAUGCCGCGUGUGUGAAGAAGGUCUUCGGAUUGUAAAGCACUUUAAGUUGGGAGGAAGGGCAUUUACCUAAUACGUAAGUGUUUUGACGUUACCGACAGAAUAAGCACCGGCUAACUCUGUGCCAGCAGCCGCGGUAAUACAGAGGGUGCAAGCGUUAAUCGGAAUUACUGGGCGUAAAGCGCGCGU